This is a non-coding RNA of Nelumbo nucifera (sacred lotus), 196 nucleotides long. The record is from Rfam. NCBI's taxonomy places the organism in Eukaryota, Viridiplantae, Streptophyta, Magnoliopsida, Proteales, Nelumbonaceae.
AUACCUUUCUCGGCCUUUUGGCUAAGAUCAAGUGUAGUAUCUGUUCUUAUCAGUUUAAUAUCUGAUACGUGGGCCAUCGGCCCACAUGAUAUUAAAUUAAUUUUUUUUGGGGAAAGGCCCACCUCAUUAGCUUGCUACUGGGGCCUUCAAGCAUCGCCCGUGCGUUGCACUACUACACGGGCCUGGUGCACCCCCA